GGGGCGUGUAGCAAUUACCAGCCUGGCAUUAUAACGGAGACCUGUUACGCUUGCUCGUGGCGUCCUGUAUUUGUACAUCUCUGUCCAAAUCGCCGUGAUCCAGCUAGCUUACACAGAAGGGCGAUUCGAUCGAGGCCGCCGCCCCGCCGCCGCCGCCGCCGGAGACGAUCCCCUGCAGUCAGUUAGUUAAGCUACAAAAUGGCCUCGCUGGACACCGUCAGAGGAGAUCUUGGCCUGGUUGUUUUGUACCUAAGCAAGGCUGAGGCAAGAGAUAAGAUCUGUAGAGCUAUACAAUAUGGAUCCAAGUUCCUGAGCAACGGACAACCAGGACCUGCACAGAAUGUCGACAAAUCAACUAGUCUAGCUCGGAAAGUUUUCCGACUGUUUAAGUUUGUUAAUGAUCUCCAAGCUCUGAUUAGCCCCCCUGCCAAAGGAACUCCACUUCCGCUGAUCUUACUUGGAAAGUCGAAGAACGCGAUGCUGUCAACUUUCCUCUUUCUGGACCAAAUUGUUUGGGCUGGGAGAACAGGAGUAUACAAGAACAAGGAGCGAGCAGAGUUUCUUGGCAGGAUAGCAUUUUAUUGCUUUCUCGGAUCCAAUACCUGUACUACUAUCAUCGAGCUAGCCGAGCUUCAGCGGCUUUCCAAAUCGAUGAAGAAGUUAGAGAAGGACCUCAAGCACCAAGAGCUGUACAAGAACGAGCAGUAUCGGAUGAAGCUGAAGAAGUCCAACGAGAGGCUGCUCGCCCUCAUCAAAUCGAGCCUCGACAUAGUCGUCGCCGUGGGGCUGCUGCAACUGGCACCAAAAAAGGUCACUCCUCGCGUCACGGGUGCGUUUGGGUUCGCUAGCUCGCUCAUCGCCUGUUACCAGUUGCUUCCAGCCCCAGCCAAAUCCAAGUGAUCUGCCUGCCCACCUCGGGCCAGGCAGCUGGUGCAUUGAUUGGUGAAACGGCGGUUGCUGUCGCCCCUUGUUGUCGCUGAUACUGAUAAGAAAUAAAUCUGGACCGAACUGUCCGUCCCCGUAGGAUAUAACCAAGGAUUAUUGCUGUGCAUGCUGGCAUUGCCGAGGGCCAUCUCAUAGCCUGGUUGAUCUGCCUUGCCUUAGACUUGAUCAUGUAGCACGCUUGUAUUUGUAUGGUCCGGUGUGCCACUAUCAUACUACAACUGUUGCGAAAUAAUUAGAAAUUUCAUACUAGAAUGGUGACGGCUCGCGUCUAGAUUUAUCUUGACGUUGUGCCGCGACGAUGAUGCGUUAGCUGGAUGUUCUUCUUUCUUCUUCUGUUGUUUUUGUUUGAGAAAAAAAAAUUCAUGUAUGUUGUAUGAAGUUGCCUUCUGCAAACCAAAACUUAAUUUCUCAGGCGGUGCGUGGGCCUAGUCUAAAUGAGAUUGAAAUUGGG
This 1396-nucleotide ribosomal RNA is filed under the name Triticum aestivum (bread wheat). Its description in RNAcentral is "partial small subunit ribosomal RNA". Lineage: Eukaryota; Viridiplantae; Streptophyta; Magnoliopsida; Poales; Poaceae. The record is from RNAcentral.